Molecule: ribosomal RNA, 253 nt
Filed under: uncultured bacterium
Lineage: Bacteria
Description: partial 16S ribosomal RNA
Rfam family: Bacterial small subunit ribosomal RNA
Source: RNAcentral
UACGUAGGUGGCAAGCGUUGUCCGGAUUUACUGGGCGUAAAGCGAACGCAGGCGGGCCUUUAAGUAGGAAGUGAAAGGUUGGAGCUCAACUCUAACACUGCUCCCUAUACUGGAGGCCUUGAGUUUCGGAGAGGAAGACGGAACUGCAGGUGUAGCGGUGAAAUGCGUUGAUAUCUGCAGGAACACCAAUGGCGAAAGCAGUCUUCUGGACGAAUACUGACGCUCAGGUUCGAAAGCCAAGGCAGCAAACAGG